This 253-nucleotide ribosomal RNA is filed under the name uncultured bacterium. Its description in RNAcentral is "partial 16S ribosomal RNA". It matches the Rfam family "Bacterial small subunit ribosomal RNA", at positions 524 to 776 of the family's 1533-position model. The record is from RNAcentral.
UACGAAGGGGGCUAGCGUUGCUCGGAAUCACUGGGCGUAAAGGGUGCGUAGGCGGGUCUUUAAGUCAGGGGUGAAAUCCUGGAGCUCAACUCCAGAACUGCCUUUGAUACUGAGGAUCUUGAGUAUGGGAGAGGUGAGUGGAACUGCGAGUGUAGAGGUGAAAUUCGUAGAUAUUCGGAAGAACACCAGUGGCGAAGGCGGCUCACUGGCCCGGUACUGACGCUGAUGUGCGAAAGCGUGGGGAGCAAACAGG